RNAcentral lists this ribosomal RNA (403 nucleotides) under uncultured bacterium. RNAcentral describes it as "partial 16S ribosomal RNA". It matches the Rfam family "Bacterial small subunit ribosomal RNA", at positions 30 to 526 of the family's 1533-position model. The record is from RNAcentral.
AUUGAACGCUGGCGGCAGGCCUAACACAUGCAAGUCGAGCGAGCGGCGGACGGGUGAGUAAUGUAUGGGGACUGCCCGAUAGAGGGGGAUAACUACUGGAAACGGUGGCUAAUACCGCAUACUAUCGGAUAACCCAUAUGGGAUUAGAUAGUAGGUGGGGUAACGGCUCACCUAGGCGACGAUCUCUCGCUGGUCGGAGAGGAUGAUCAGCCACACUGGGACUGAGACACGGCCCAGACUCCUACGGAGGCAGCAGUGGGGAAUAUUGCACAUGGGGCGCAAGCCUGAUGCAGCCAGGCCGCGUGGAGGAAGAAGGCCUUAGGGUUGUAAAGUACUUUCGGUAGCGAGGCGUUAACUACAGAAGAAGCACCGGCUAACUCCGUGCCAGCAGCCGCGGUAAUUC